AUUCCAGCUCCAAUAGCGUAUAUUAAAGUUGUUGCAGUUAAAAAGCUCGUAGUUGGAUUUCUGGUGAGUUCGUUUGGCCGGCCGUAAAGGUCUGUGCCGAAAUGUUAUUCGCCAUCCUUGGUGUAAUCUUGUCCGCCAUUAAGUUGUGUGGGCUUGAGGAUGCCAUCGUUUACUGUGAAAAAAUUAGAGUGUUCAAAGCAGGCUUAUGCCGUUGAAUACAUUAGCAUGGAAUAAUAAGAUAGGACCCUGGUACUAUUUUGUUGGUUUGCGUACCUAGGUAAUGAUUAAUAGGGACAGUUGGGGGUAUUUGUAUUCCGUUGUCAGAGGUGAAAUUCUUGGAUUUACGGAAGACAAACUACUGCGAAAGCAUUUACCAAGGAUGUUUUCAUUG
Molecule: ribosomal RNA, 391 nt
Filed under: Triparma sp.
Lineage: Eukaryota; Bolidophyceae; Parmales; Triparmaceae
Description: partial small subunit ribosomal RNA
Rfam family: Eukaryotic small subunit ribosomal RNA
Source: RNAcentral